CCGAGUUUACAACUCCCAAACCCCUGUGAACAUACCACUUGUUGCCUCGGCGGAUCAGCCCGCUCCCGGUAAACGGACGGCCCGCCAGAGGACCCCUAAACUCUGUUUCUAUAUGUAACUUCUGAGUAAAACCAUAAAUAAAUCA
This 145-nucleotide unclassified non-coding RNA is filed under the name soil metagenome. RNAcentral's name for it is "partial internal transcribed spacer 1". The record is from RNAcentral.